This 465-nucleotide ribosomal RNA is filed under the name uncultured bacterium. RNAcentral's name for it is "partial 16S ribosomal RNA". It matches the Rfam family "Bacterial small subunit ribosomal RNA", at positions 28 to 507 of the family's 1533-position model. The record is from RNAcentral.
GACGAACGCUGGCGGCGUGCUUAACACAUGCAGGUCGAACGGAAAGGCCCUGCUUGCAGGGUACUCGAGUGGCGAACGGGUGAGUAACACGUGGGUGAUCUGCCCUGCACUUCGGGAUAAGCCUGGGAAACUGGGUCUAAUACCGGAUAGGAGCCAUUUUUAGUGUGAUGGUUGGAAAGUUUUUUCGGUGUAGGAUGAGCUCGCGGCCUAUCAGCUUGUUGGUGGGGUAAUGGCCUACCAAGGCGGCGACGGGUAGCCGGCCUGAGAGGGUGGACGGGCACAUUGGGACUGAGAUACGGCCCAGACUCCUACGGGAGGCAGCAGUGGGGAAUAUUGCACAAUGGGCGCAAGCCUGAUGCAGCGACGCCGCGUGGGGGAUGACGGCCUUCGGGUUGUAAACUCCUUUCGCUAGGGACGAAGCUUUUUGUGACGGUACCUAGAUAAGAAGCACCGGCUAACUACGUG